UUAGCGAUCGUUUCCAACCGUUAUUCCCAUGUUGAAGGCAAGUUACCCAUGUAUUACUAACCCUUCCGCCACUAAGUGUAUUGCUACACUUCGUUCGACUUGCAUGCCUAAUCCACGCCGACNCUGAUUA
RNAcentral lists this ribosomal RNA (130 nucleotides) under Neochlamydia sp. 'turtle type 1'. RNAcentral describes it as "partial 16S ribosomal RNA". The record is from RNAcentral. Lineage: Bacteria; Pseudomonadati; Chlamydiota; Chlamydiia; Parachlamydiales; Parachlamydiaceae.